This 406-nucleotide ribosomal RNA is filed under the name uncultured Streptococcus sp. Its description in RNAcentral is "bacterial SSU rRNA". It matches the Rfam family "Bacterial small subunit ribosomal RNA", at positions 976 to 1382 of the family's 1533-position model. The record is from RNAcentral. Lineage: Bacteria; Bacillati; Bacillota; Bacilli; Lactobacillales; Streptococcaceae.
AGGUCUUGACAUCCCGAUGCUAUUUCUAGAGAUAGAAAGUUACUUCGGUUACAUCGGUGACAGGUGGUGCAUGGUUGUCGUCAGCUCGUGUCGUGAGAUGUUGGGUUAAGUCCCGCAACGAGCGCAACCCCUAUUGUUAGUUGCCAUCAUUCAGUUGGGCACUCUAGCGAGACUGCCGGUAAUAAACCGGAGGAAGGUGGGGAUGACGUCAAAUCAUCAUGCCCCUUAUGACCUGGGCUACACACGUGCUACAAUGGUUGGUACAACGAGUUGCGAGUCGGUGACGGCGAGCUAAUCUCUUAAAGCCAAUCUCAGUUCGGAUUGUAGGCUGCAACUCGCCUACAUGAAGUCGGAAUCGCUAGUAAUCGCGGAUCAGCACGCCGCGGUGAAUACGUUCCCGGGCCUU